UAGGGAAUAUCAGAAAUGGACGAAAGUCUGAUCUAGCAACACCGCGUGUGCGAUGAAGGCCUUCGGGUCGUAAAGCACUUUUUGGAAGGAAUAGGAAGGAAUGUACUUCCAGAAUAAGUCUCGGCUAACUACGUGCCAGCAGCCGCGGUAACACGUAGGAGGCAAACGUUAUCCGGAUUUACUGGGCGUAAAGCGCGUGUAGGUGGUACUGUAAGUAGGGCGUGAAAGCUCCUGGCUCAACUGGGAGAGGCCGUUCUAAACUACAGAACUAGAGGAUGGUAGAGGGAGGUGGAAUUCCAGGUGUAGCGGUGGAAUGCGCAGAUAUCUGGAGGAACACCGGUGGCGAAGGCGGCCUCCUAGACCAUUCCUGACACUCAGACGCGAAAGCUAGGGUAGCAAACGG
This 403-nucleotide ribosomal RNA is filed under the name uncultured bacterium. Its description in RNAcentral is "bacterial SSU rRNA". It matches the Rfam family "Bacterial small subunit ribosomal RNA", at positions 355 to 775 of the family's 1533-position model. The record is from RNAcentral.